GUACACUCCUGCGGGAGGCAGCAGUGAGGAAUAUUGGACAAUGGGUGGAAGCCUGAUCCAGCCAUCCCGCGUGCAGGAAGACGGCCCUAUGGGUUGUAAACUGCUUUUAUCUGGGGAUAAACCUACUUACGUGUAAGUAGCUGAAGGUACCAGAAGAAUAAGCACCGGCUAACUCCGUGCCAGCAGCCGCGGUAAUACGGAGGGUGCAAGCGUUAUCCGGAUUUAUUGGGUUUAAAGGGUCCGUAGGCGGACUGAUAAGUCAGUGGUGAAAUCCGACAGCUUAACUGUCGAACUGCCAUUGAUACUGUUAGUCUUGAGUAAGGUUGAAGUGGCUGGAAUAAGUAGUGUAGCGGUGAAAUGCAUAGAUAUUACUUAGAACACCAAUUGCGAAGGCAGGUCACUAAGUCUUAACUGACGCUGAUGGACGAAAGCGUGGGGAGCGAACAGGAUUAGAAACCCUAGUAGUCCCAUGAU
RNAcentral lists this ribosomal RNA (474 nucleotides) under uncultured organism. Its description in RNAcentral is "partial 16S ribosomal RNA". It matches the Rfam family "Bacterial small subunit ribosomal RNA", at positions 331 to 801 of the family's 1533-position model. The record is from RNAcentral.